This 138-nucleotide small nucleolar RNA is filed under the name Ornithorhynchus anatinus (platypus). Lineage: Eukaryota; Metazoa; Chordata; Mammalia; Monotremata; Ornithorhynchidae. The record is from RNAcentral.
CCCCCCUCAGGGUAGCACCUGGAGAGGUUCUAGUACUCUACCAGUCUCGGCUACAGGAGGGAGAGUCAAGCAGAGGCAUACCCAUUCCAUUCCUAGCUUGGCCAGUGGUUAGUGAGUAGAAGGCAAUCUGCUACAAGU